This 465-nucleotide ribosomal RNA is filed under the name Vreelandella stevensii. Its description in RNAcentral is "partial 16S ribosomal RNA". It matches the Rfam family "Bacterial small subunit ribosomal RNA", at positions 338 to 795 of the family's 1533-position model. The record is from RNAcentral. Lineage: Bacteria; Pseudomonadati; Pseudomonadota; Gammaproteobacteria; Oceanospirillales; Halomonadaceae.
CCUACGGGGGGCUGCAGUGGGGAAUAUUGGACAAUGGGCGAAAGCCUGAUCCAGCCAUGCCGCGUGUGUGAAGAAGGCCUUCGGGUUGUAAAGCACUUUCAGUGGGGAAGAAAGCCUUGGGGCUAAUACCCUCGAGGAAGGACAUCACCCACAGAAGAAGCACCGGCUAACUCCGUGCCAGCAGCCGCGGUAAUACGGAGGGUGCGAGCGUUAAUCGGAAUUACUGGGCGUAAAGCGCGCGUAGGCGGUCUGAUAAGCCGGUUGCGAAAGCCCCGGGCUCAACCUGGGAACGGCAUCCGGAACUGUCAGGCUAGAGUGCAGGAGAGGAAGGUAGAAUUCCCGGUGUAGCGGUGAAAUGCGUAGAGAUCGGGAGGAAUACCAGUGGCGAAGGCGGCCUUCUGGACUGACACUGACGCUGAGGUGCGAAAGCGUGGGUAGCAAACAGGAUUAGAUACCCCAGUAGUC